Neodiprion virginianus is the source of this 250-nucleotide long non-coding RNA. RefSeq lists it as uncharacterized. The record is from RefSeq and is a predicted model, not a curated record. The transcript is spliced from 4 exons. NCBI's taxonomy places the organism in Eukaryota, Metazoa, Arthropoda, Insecta, Hymenoptera, Diprionidae.
CUGUAGUUUCUGCGCUUCAGGUCCGCUACCUGGUGAAACUCGACUUCCGAGGUAUAACUCGAGGUGGUUAUCGGUGGUUGUUGGAGGUGGUUGGCGGUGGUUUGAAGUGGACGAGGAGGACGAGGAUUUGUGCUCGGUAUAACCCGAGGUAGUUCGCGGUGGUUCCGGGUGAUCGAGGUGAGCGAGGAAGAGGACGAGGAUGACGAGGACUUGUACACUUUCUGUGCCCCACCUAGUGAUCCACCAGUAC